AGUGAACGCUGGCGGUAGGCCUAACACAUGCAAGUCGAACGGCAGCACAGUAAGAGCUUGCUCUUACGGGUGGCGAGUGGCGGACGGGUGAGGAAUACAUCGGAAUCUACUUUUUCGUGGGGGAUAACGUAGGGAAACUUACGCUAAUACCGCAUACGACCUACGGGUGAAAGCAGGGGAUCUUCGGACCUUGCGCGAUUGAAUGAGCCGAUGUCGGAUUAGCUAGUUGGCGGGGUAAAGGCCCACCAAGGCGACGAUCCGUAGCUGGUCUGAGAGGAUGAUCAGCCACACUGGAACUGAGACACGGUCCAGACUCCUACGGGAGGCAGCAGUGGGGAAUAUUGGACAAUGGGCGCAAGCCUGAUCCAGCCAUACCGCGUCAGUGAAGAAGGCCUUCGGGUUGUAAAGCCCUUUUGUUGGGAAAGAAAAGCAGCAGGUUAAUACCCCGCUGUUCUGACGGUACCCAAAGAAUAAGCGCCGGCUAACUUCGUG
This 492-nucleotide ribosomal RNA is filed under the name uncultured bacterium. RNAcentral's name for it is "partial 16S ribosomal RNA". It matches the Rfam family "Bacterial small subunit ribosomal RNA", at positions 29 to 507 of the family's 1533-position model. The record is from RNAcentral.